CGAACGCUGGCGGCGUGCUUAACACAUGCAAGUCGAACGCUGAAGCACCAGCUUGCUGGUGUGGAUGAGUGGCGAACGGGUGAGUAAUACGUGAGUAACCUGCCCUUGACUCUGGGAUAAGCCCGGGAAACUGGGUCUAAUACUGGAUGCUACAUGUCACCGCAUGGUGGUGUGUGGAAAGGGUUUACUGGUCUUGGAUGGGCUCACGGCCUAUCAGCUUGUUGGUGAGGUAAUGGCUCACCAAGGCGACGACGGGUAGCCGGCCUGAGAGGGUGACCGGCCACACUGGGACUGAGACACGGCCCAGACUCCUACGGGAGGCAGCAGUGGGGAAUAUUGCACAAUGGGCGAAAGCCUGAUGCAGCGACGCCGCGUGAGGGAUGACGGCCUUCGGGUUGUAAACCUCUUUCAGCAGGGAAGAAGCCACAAGUGACGGUACCUGCAGAAGAAGCGCCGGCUAAC
Molecule: ribosomal RNA, 462 nt
Filed under: Kocuria sp. SC45
Lineage: Bacteria; Bacillati; Actinomycetota; Actinomycetes; Micrococcales; Micrococcaceae
Description: bacterial SSU rRNA
Rfam family: Bacterial small subunit ribosomal RNA
Source: RNAcentral